GACGAACGCUGGCGGCGUGCUUAACACAUGCAAGUCGAACGGUGAAGCGCUUUCCUUUUUGGUUGGUGUGGAUGAGUGGCGAACGGGUGAGUAACACGUGAGUAACCUGCCCCCUUCUUCUGGAUAACCGCAUGAAAGUGUGGCUAAUACGGGAUAUUCUGCGCCUGCUGCAUGGUGGGUGUGGGAAAGAUUGUGCCUUUGGGUGUUUUCGGUGGGGGAUGGGCUCGCGGCCUAUCAGCUUGUUGGUGGGGUGAUGGCCUACCAAGGCGGUGACGGGUAGCCGGCAUGAGAGGGUGGACGGUCACACUGGGACUGAGACACGGCCCAGACUCCUACGGGAGGCAGCAGUGGGGAAUAUUGCACAAUGGGCGCAAGCCUAAUGCAGCGACGCCGCGUGAGGGAUGGAGGCCUUCGGGUUGUGAACCUCUUUCGCCAGUGAAGCAGGCCUGCUCCUUGUGGGUGGGUUGACGGUAGCUGGAGAAGAAGCGCCGGCUAACUACGUG
This 503-nucleotide ribosomal RNA is filed under the name uncultured bacterium. Its description in RNAcentral is "partial 16S ribosomal RNA". It matches the Rfam family "Bacterial small subunit ribosomal RNA", at positions 28 to 507 of the family's 1533-position model. The record is from RNAcentral.